Molecule: ribosomal RNA, 164 nt
Filed under: Aequatorium asterotrichum
Lineage: Eukaryota; Viridiplantae; Streptophyta; Magnoliopsida; Asterales; Asteraceae
Also listed under: 2 other names
Description: 5.8S ribosomal RNA
Rfam family: 5.8S ribosomal RNA
About the family: 5.8S ribosomal RNA (5.8S rRNA) is a component of the large subunit of the eukaryotic ribosome. It is transcribed by RNA polymerase I as part of the 45S precursor that also contains 18S and 28S rRNA. Functionally, it is thought that 5.8S rRNA may be involved in ribosome translocation.
Source: RNAcentral
CAAACGACUCUCGGCAACGGAUAUCUCGGCUCACGCAUCGAUGAAGAACGUAGCAAAAUGCGAUACUUGGUGUGAAUUGCAGAAUCCCGUGAACCAUCGAGUUUUUGAACGCAAGUUGCGCCCAAAGCCUUUCGGCCGAGGGCACGUCUGUCUGGGCGUCACAC